UACGGAGGGGGCAAGCGUUGUUCGGAGUUACUGGGCGUAAAGCGCGCGUAGGCGGUGCGGUAAGUCAGGGGUUAAAGGCUGCAGCUCAACUGCAGUAAGGCCUUUGAUACUAUCGCGCUAGAGUACCAGAGAGGAUGGCGGAAUUCCUGGUGUAGCGGUGAAAUGCGUAGAUAUCGGGAGGAACACCAGUAGCGAAGGCGGCCAUCUGGCUGGUAACUGACGCUGAGGUGCGAGAGCGUGGGGAGCAAACAGG
Molecule: ribosomal RNA, 253 nt
Filed under: uncultured microorganism
Description: partial 16S ribosomal RNA
Rfam family: Bacterial small subunit ribosomal RNA
Source: RNAcentral